GACCUCGUAGCUCAGGUGGUUAGAGCGUUGGCUGUACUAAAGCCUUCCUCUUGCUGGCGUGAGUUCGAAUCCCACCGAGGCCA
Schistocephalus solidus is the source of this 83-nucleotide non-coding RNA. Lineage: Eukaryota; Metazoa; Platyhelminthes; Cestoda; Diphyllobothriidea; Diphyllobothriidae. The record is from Rfam.